CCUACGGGAGGCAGCAGUGGGGAAUAUUGCACAAUGGGCGCAAGCCUGAUGCAGCCAUGCCGCGUGUGUGAAGAAGGCCUUCGGGUUGUAAAGCACUUUCAGCGGGGAGGAAGGCGGUGAGGUUAAUAACCUCAUCGAUUGACGUUACCCGCAGAAGAAGCACCGGCUAACUCCGUGCCAGCAGCCGCGGUAAUACGGAGGGUGCAAGCGUUAAUCGGAAUUACUGGGCGUAAAGCGCACGCAGGCGGUCUGUCAAGUCGGAUGCGAAAUCCCCGGGCUCAACCUGGGAACUGCAUUCGAAACUGGCAGGCUAGAGUCUUGUAGAGGGGGGUAGAAUUCCAGGUGUAGCGGUGAAAUGCGUAGAGAUCUGGAGGAAUACCGGUGGCGAAGGCGGCCCCCUGGACAAAGACUGACGCUCAGGUGCGAAAGCGUGGGGAGCAAACAGGAUUAGAUACCCGGGUAGUC
Molecule: ribosomal RNA, 465 nt
Filed under: uncultured Klebsiella sp.
Lineage: Bacteria; Pseudomonadati; Pseudomonadota; Gammaproteobacteria; Enterobacterales; Enterobacteriaceae
Description: bacterial SSU rRNA
Rfam family: Bacterial small subunit ribosomal RNA
Source: RNAcentral